UACGGGGGGGAGCAAGCGUUGUUCGGAUUUACUGGGCGUAAAGGGCGCGUAGGCGGUCGUGACAAGUCACUUGUGAAAUCUCCGGGCUUAACUCGGAACGGUCAAGUGAUACUGUCGGACUAGAGUACAGAAGGGGCAACUGGAAUUCUCGGUGUAGCGGUGAAAUGCGUAGAUAUCGAGAGGAACACCUGCGGCGAAGGCGGCGAGCUGGUCCAUUACUGACGCUGAGGCGCGACAGCGUGGGGAGCAAACAGG
RNAcentral lists this ribosomal RNA (255 nucleotides) under uncultured bacterium. Its description in RNAcentral is "partial 16S ribosomal RNA". It matches the Rfam family "Bacterial small subunit ribosomal RNA", at positions 524 to 776 of the family's 1533-position model. The record is from RNAcentral.